GUUGGGCCUCAGUAGUAGGCACUGGCCUCAAAUGUGCCAGGCCCUGGGUUGGGUCCCCAGCAACCACAAAAAGGCAAAACCAAAGCCAAACAAAAAAAAAAUAUUCAGCGCCAGACAUGGUACUAGGGCUUUGUGUGUCGUUUUCUUUCUCGUGAUGGAACAGAAGCUUCAUGUGGACAGCAGCUGUGUCUACUUCCCUCAUCUUGUGGACUUAAAAAUCUAGGAUGUUGCCUGGUGCUUAAGAGGCACUCAACAAAUGUCUAUUGGAUGAGCGAAGCAAUGAAAUAAGUAGGUGUUUAUUAUUCCCACAUUACAGAUGGGAAAAGCUAGGUCAAAUUACGUAUAGAUCAUGUAACUGGGAGGUGCUGAGCAUGAGACUUAUGUCUUGGUUCCUUUGAUCUUAAAGCUCAGGUUUUGGCUACUCCCUGAAGCUGCCUCAGCCUCUCCUUCCUGCAAUGGGAGCUGAGGUUCAGCAUAAAAGCAAGAGGCUUGAUGGAGGUAUCCUAAAAAUAAAACCAGCCAGCCACAGGCUCCAGACUGCUGUUUUGGCCACGGGGCCAUAUUUCCAUCACAUUCAAAGGCUUCCAAGGGUUUGAGAUGGAAGGGAUACCAGCAGUUUGAGUAAAAGAUACUUAGUUUGAUCCAACACCACACCGAGCCCUCAUCAGCCACAGGCUCCCCUGCGCUUGUGGUCACCGAAGGAGCCGAAGCUGCUAAACUGACUGUAGUCCUGUUGUUUAUGUUCUCUCGCUGGCUGCAAUGCCCGGGUCUUUGAAUCCGG
RNAcentral lists this long non-coding RNA (781 nucleotides) under Marmota monax (woodchuck). The record is from RNAcentral. Lineage: Eukaryota; Metazoa; Chordata; Mammalia; Rodentia; Sciuridae.